AAAUAAUAUUCCAUUCCUAAAAUCAAUUGCAGGACAGUAAUGAUACAUUCUAAGGAAACUUCUUAUUUCCAAUAAAAAAGAUAAUAUUCCAUUCCUAAAAUCACUUGCAGGACUUUUAACUUUUCCUAAAUUCUGUCAACCAAGCUCACCACAUAGUAUUUGUUACUUACACCUUUUAUUCCCUCUUUCUUGAUAUUUGUUUCUCUGACAGAUUGAUACGAAG
Molecule: unclassified non-coding RNA, 223 nt
Filed under: Hevea brasiliensis (rubber tree)
Lineage: Eukaryota; Viridiplantae; Streptophyta; Magnoliopsida; Malpighiales; Euphorbiaceae
Source: RNAcentral